Molecule: ribosomal RNA, 488 nt
Filed under: uncultured bacterium
Lineage: Bacteria
Description: bacterial SSU rRNA
Rfam family: Bacterial small subunit ribosomal RNA
Source: RNAcentral
GAUGAACGCUAGCGGCAGGCUUAACACAUGCAAGUCGAGGGGCAGCAGGGAUUUAGCUUGCUAAAUCCGCUGGCGACCGGCGCAAGGGUGCGUAACGCGUGAGCAACUUGCCCUUAUCAGGGGGAUAACCGGUGGAAACGCCGACUAAUACCCCAUAGUAUCACUUUAAGGCAUCUUUUAGUGAUUAAAGAAUUUCGGAUAAGGAUAGGCUCGCGUGACAUUAGCUAGAUGGCGGGGUAACGGCCCACCUAGCCCACGAUGGAUAGGGGUUCUGAGAGGAAGGUCCCCCACACUGGAACUGAGACACGGUCCAGACUCCUACGGGAGGCAGCAGUGAGGAAUAUUGGUCAAUGGGCGCAAGCCUGAACCAGCCAAGUAGCGUGAAGGAUGACUGCCCUAUGGGUUGUAAACUUCUUUAUACGGGAACAACCGCAGGUACGUGUACCUGUCUGCGUGUACCGUAUGAAUAAGCACCGGCUAACUCCGUG